CUGCGGCCCUUUCUUUGUAUAGACUGGAAUACUAUCAAUAUCAUUAUCAAUAUCAUUAAACUAUUGGUGCUAUUAGUUUUUUAGCGUUUGGAUUGAGAAAUGUGUGGUUAGGAUAAUGUGGGCUCUCUAGGGUUGAGUAGGUGGUUGGUUGAAUAAUAUAAUCUAACAGAUAAAAAUAAUCAAAGCGUUAAAUCUAACGGUGGAAAACUCAAUAGCAUCAAACCCUUGGUGCUAUCAAUAAUAUCCAAGCCAGACUCUAUAUAUAUAUAUAGAGAGAGAGAGAGAGAGAGAGAGAGAGAGAUAGGUUGGUAUACUAUCGGUAGCAUGGAGACCUCCGUGCUACUAAGUUGUUUUCAAUGAUGCGAUUUCCAAAUCGACGAUCAGCUCCGUUAGAUUUGAUCUACAUUAUUAAAAGUAUUUGAAAAUUAAAUUUCAUAAUUUUUUGGCAUAAUUUAUCUAUCAAACGAGUAGUCAAAAAAUAAACGGCUGAAAAUAAAAAUCUCAUAAAAAAUGAUGAUAAAAGAUUUGAAUUUAAGAUUAUAGGCAUUGAUCAUACUCUAAAUAGUGAAAAGAAUUUUUUGUAAAAAUUUCAUCAGAUUUGAAUUGUUUUACACCGUUAAAUUCACAAACGUAUCACAUCUACCAUUAAAAUUGUCAAUUUUGAAAUCGUUUGAUCACUAGCCAAAUGAUGUCGAAAAAUUAUAAAAUUUAGUUUCCAAAUACUUUGAAUAGUGUAGAUCAAGUCUUACGGAGUCGAUCGUCGAUUUGGAAGCCGUAUCAUUGAAAACAACUUGGUAGCACGGAGGCCUCUGUGCUACCGAUAGUAUACCAGCCUAGCUCUCUUUCUCUCUAUAUAUAUCUAUUAACCUAUAUGAAUCCCCAAUAUUUGUUGCCACGUGGCAAAUUUUCCUUCAUCCUCACUAACAUUUGACCCUUCUUUUUCUCUUCACCAAACUUUCAAUAUGCAUUUUAACGGUCCCACUAACCAAACUUUCAAAUAGUGCAUCCCACUACCAUCUAUAAUUCUAUCGUUUCUAUCUACUAUUAUUCAUCAUGACUCUCUCCCUUUCCUCUACUAGACUUUCAAUUAAUGCAAACAAUCCCAUUAGCUACCAAACUUUCAAUUAAUAUAUUUAAAUGGUUCCACUAUCAUCUACAGUCCUAACCUCUCUAUCUCUAAUUAUUCAUUAUGAUCAUUUUCCUUUCCUCCGCUAGACUUUCAAUUAUUUAUCUCUAAUUUACUCAUCAAUUCUCUAUCUUUCAUUUUUUACUAUACAUUAUCGCCUCCUUCCCUCACUCUCUUCCUCUCUCUUACUAAUGCGCACCCACUUUCCCCCUCCGCCGCAGUCGGAGGGAUCGUCGUCGCCGUCACUAUCACCAUCGCCAGAGAAGGCAUAGUCGGACACAUAUCCGCUGCCAACAGUGAGAGACCUUCGGCGGAUGUACCAAGUGAGAUACACAAAAGAAUAUUUAAUAUUUUUUAUUAUUAAUUACUAUUACGUUUUCUACCCACUGCAAAGCGCGGGCCCCUUCACUAGUGUGUGUGUAUAUAUAUAUAUAUAUAUAUAUAUAUAUAUAUAUAUAUAUAUAUUAUGAGUGCGGCUAGGAUGCUUAUGGAAGCACGGAGGGCUUCGUGCUUACACUUUGUUUUCGAUGUUCGGACUUUCGGAUCGACGAUCAGCUCCGUUAGACUUGAUCUAAAGUAUUUAAAGUAUAUAAAAAAUAAAUUUUGCGAUUUUUCGAUAUCAUUUGCCUAGUGAUCGAAGUGGCUUAAAAUCAACGGCUGAAAAUAAAAAUCUUACAAAAUAUGAUGAUAUGACAUUAAAAUUUUAGAUCAAAGUUAUUGAUCUUGUUUUAUAUGGUAUAAAGAAUUUUCUAUCAAAAUUUCAUAUGAUUUGGAUAUUUCUACACCGUUAAACUUGCAACCGGCUCACCACGGCUGUUAAAAUUAUUGAUCUUGAUCCCCUUCGAUUACUAGGCAAAUGAUAUCGAAAAAUCUCAAAUUUUAUUUUCUAAGUACUUCAAAUACUCUAGAUCAACUCAAACGGAGCUGAUCGUCGAUUCAAAAGUCCGAACAUCGAAAACGACUUAGAAGCACGGAGGCCUCCGUGCUUCCAUAAGCAUACCAGCACAACUCAUUAUAUAUAUAUANACCGGCUCACCACGGCUGUUAAAAUUAUUGAUCUUGAUCCCCUUCGAUUACUAGGCAAAUGAUAUCGAAAAAUCUCAAAUUUUAUUUUCUAAGUACUUCAAAUACUCUAGAUCAACUCAAACGGAGCUGAUCGUCGAUUCAAAAGUCCGAACAUCGAAAACGACUUAGAAGCACGGAGGCCUCCGUGCUUCCAUAAGCAUACCAGCACAACUCAUUAUAUAUAUAUAUAUAUAUAUAUAUAUAUAUAUAUAUAUAUAUAUAUAUAAAAGGAGUAGGGCUGCUGUGCUCUCAGGAGCACGGAGGCCUCCAUGCUCCUAAGCCGUUUCGAUGAUGGAAUUUUCGAAUUGACGAUCGGCUUCGUUAGACUUGAUCUAGCGCAUUUGAAGUUUCUAGAAAAUAUUUUUUGCGAUUUUUUGAUGAUCAAAAGGAUUCAAAAUUCAUAAUUUUUAAUGGUUGAUAUCUGCCGUUUUCAAGUUUAACGGUAUAGAAGUAUUCAAAUCAGAUGAAAUUUUGAUAGAAAAUUCUUUAUACUAUCUACAAUAAGAUCAAUAUUUCUGAUCGAAAAUUUAAUGCUAUAUCACCACUUUUUAUAGAAUUUUUAUUUUCAGCCGUUAAAAAUUAUUGAUUUUGAAUCCUUUCGAUUGCUAGGUAAAUGAUAUCGAAAAACCACAAAAAUUAUUUUCUACAAACUUCAAAUACGCUAGAUCAAGUUUAACGGAGCCGAUCGUCGAUUCGAAAAUUUCAUCAUCGAAAACGGUUCAGGAGCACGGAGGCCUCCGUGCUCCUGAGAACACCUACAAUACUAUCAAUAGACAACCCACUAAACCCUGAGGACCACUAAUGACUUGAUGCUACGUAUAGUAUUCUAUUCU
This 3024-nucleotide long non-coding RNA is filed under the name Ananas comosus (pineapple). Its description in RNAcentral is "long non-coding RNA (ACOM_LNC006120)". The record is from RNAcentral. Lineage: Eukaryota; Viridiplantae; Streptophyta; Magnoliopsida; Poales; Bromeliaceae.